CUGAUGACCACCACCGAGAUGGUUGUCCCCUUCUCUGUUUGAUUGCCUCCGCAUCUGCUUCUAUAAAACUUCAGAUGCAAGGAUGUCGUUUAGACUUAUCACUUUGUUGAUUAAUUGAUUAAAUCAGAGCUCCAAACAUCGCAAUCAAGAUCGGUUGGUCGAAUCGACAGUGUGAGGGUAAGGUUGGCAAUGGUGAACAAGAGCAAGGGCAUCUCACUGCCUCGUCAUGCAGUCCUCCAUGUUGUCCAUCCCCAAAGGCCACUACUCCGAAGAUCCCAUGCUCCAGUAGCUAAAAAAGCAAAAGUUGCUACCUACAGGUGUCCAUUUUGUGUUGCUAUAUUUUUCUCUCAGUCACUGGAUUGUAUGCUUAUAAGCAACAGACUGCUGGCUCCAAAGAAACGGAGAUGAGCGGAUGAGGGCGAGAAUGGUGUAGUGGCUGAUGGUACUUGAUGUAAUAAUCAGAAAAUUUAUCUAGGUACUUGAGGUAAUAAUCAUGUGUAGUGGCUGAUGGUACAUGUUGUCUAACUUAUUUCCAUCCCUGAAACAAUGCAUCUUGUGUUGUGCAUACUUUUUUAAGACUAUAACAUAAAACAUAACUGCUUUGACGAGUGUGCUAUGCAUUUUGGUUGGAACAUUAUGUUUUUUUCCAAAAUGUUCUACAAAAUAUCAUGGACCUAGCAAAAAAAACAAAAAAAACAGACAUGUAUGUCUGUAGCAUCAUGGAUAAAAAUAUUGACCUGUGAGACAUACUUACACAAUUUUACUGCAUUUUCUGAACUUAAUAUGUUUGUGUAACCCUGUUAUGGAUGGUUACUGUAGUGGUACUGUAGCGGGCCUUCUUGGGCCCUGGCAAACCCUCUUCUAUUUGCUUUCAGAUACU
Zea mays is the source of this 880-nucleotide long non-coding RNA. RefSeq lists it as uncharacterized. The transcript is spliced from 4 exons. The record is from RefSeq and is a predicted model, not a curated record. NCBI's taxonomy places the organism in Eukaryota, Viridiplantae, Streptophyta, Magnoliopsida, Poales, Poaceae.